AAAGAAACCAACCGGGAUUGCCCCAGUAACGGCGAGUGAAGCGGCAAGAGCUCAAAUUUGAAAUCUGGCCCCUCCGGGGUCCGAGUUGUAAUUUGCAGAGGAUGCUUCGGGUGCGGCCCCUGUCUAAGUGCCCUGGAACGGGCCGUCAGAGAGGGUGAGAAUCCCGUCUUGGGCAGGGUGCCCGUGCCCGUGUGAAGCUCCUUCGACGAGUCGAGUUGUUUGGGAAUGCAGCUCUAAAUGGGUGGUAAAUUUCAUCUAAAGCUAAAUACCGGCCGGAGACCGAUAGCGCACAAGUAGAGUGAUCGAAAGAUGAAAAGCACUUUGAAAAGAGAGUUAAAUAGCACGUGAAAUUGUUGAAAGGGAAGCGCUUGCGACCAGACUCGCCCGCGGGGUUCAGCCAGCACUCGUGCUGGUGUACUUCCCCGUGGGCGGGCCAGCGUCGGUUUGGGUGGCCGGUCAAAGGCCCCGGGAAUGUAUCGCCCUCCGGGGUGUCUUAUAGCCCGGGGUGCAAUGCGGCCAGCCCGGACCGAGGAACGCGCUUCGGCACGGACGCUGGCAUAAUGGUCGCAAACGAC
This 575-nucleotide ribosomal RNA is filed under the name Aspergillus ivoriensis. RNAcentral describes it as "eukaryotic LSU rRNA". It matches the Rfam family "Eukaryotic large subunit ribosomal RNA", at positions 58 to 648 of the family's 3401-position model. Lineage: Eukaryota; Fungi; Ascomycota; Eurotiomycetes; Eurotiales; Aspergillaceae. The record is from RNAcentral.